GAGUUUGAUUCUGGCUCAGGAGGAACGCUGGCGGCGUGCCUAACACAUGCAAGUCGAGCGAGAAAUAGUCAGACGGAGAUUUCGGUUGAAGGAUGGUUAUGGAAAGCGGCGGACGGGUGAGUAACGCGUAGGCAACCUGCCUCAUGCAGAGGGAUAGCCUCGGGAAACCGGGAUUAAAACCUCAUAAGGCCAAGGGGACACAUGUUUUCGUGGUCAAAGAUUUAUCGGCAUGAGAUGGGCCUGCGUCUGAUUAGCUGGUUGGUGAGGUAACGGCUCACCAAGGCGACGAUCAGUAGCCGACCUGAGAGGGUAAACGGCCACAUUGGAACUGAGACACGGUCCAGACUCCUACGGGAGGCAGCAGUGGGGAAUAUUGCACAAUGGGCGAAAGCCUGAUGCAGCAACGCCGCGUGAGCGAUGAAGGCUUUCGAGUCGUAAAGCUCUGUCCUAUGGGAAGAUGA
RNAcentral lists this ribosomal RNA (461 nucleotides) under Peptostreptococcaceae bacterium canine oral taxon 125. RNAcentral's name for it is "bacterial SSU rRNA". It matches the Rfam family "Bacterial small subunit ribosomal RNA", at positions 9 to 451 of the family's 1533-position model. The record is from RNAcentral. Lineage: Bacteria; Bacillati; Bacillota; Clostridia; Peptostreptococcales; Peptostreptococcaceae.